This is a non-coding RNA of Theobroma umbraticum, 2294 nucleotides long. The record is from RefSeq and is a predicted model, not a curated record. NCBI's taxonomy places the organism in Eukaryota, Viridiplantae, Streptophyta, Magnoliopsida, Malvales, Malvaceae.
GACGAGAAGAGCUUUGUUUGUGUGAAGAAAGUUUUCUUUUUUUUUGAAGUUUGAGCUCUUUAAGAUCCAAUUACUACCCCCGCACCCAAGUAACAGUGAAAGAAGAGAACAACAUCACUCAAAACAUCUUUAUUGAGGGACAAAACAGAGAAAGAGAAAGAGGAGAGAGGGAGAAGUCUCUCUCUCAAUUGUUGUAGUGUUUUUCUAGAGAAGGGUGUAACAAGGAAGAGUAAUAGAUUGUGUUGAUAAAAGGGUUUCAUCAUCACCAUCAUCAUCAUGAGUAACUGGUUGGGGUUUUCUCUGACUCCACACCUAAGAAUCGAUGAAAGCUUUGGCAGAGAAGACCAUGGAGGUUUCUCUUCCGUCAUGCCUUUGCGUUCCGAUGGCUCUCUUUGCGUUGUUGACCCUUUUCGUCGCUCCUCUAACGGCGCCGAAGAUUGGAGAUAUGAAAACAAUAUUGGCGGUGCAACUGAAAGUGAGGACGGUCCCAAACUUGAAGAUUUCUUGGGGUGUUGUUACUCAAACUCUCCAUCUGAGGAGACCAAAGGUUAUGGCCAAACCCAAGAGGACCAAAACCAAAACAUUGUUUCAACUAGAAUCAAUGUCAAUGUAGCACCAGGCUAUAACACUAAUGGGGGUAUGGAAGGUGGAGAGACUUUAACAAAUCCAUCUUCUUUGAUCCAAACUUACCAAUACAACGAAAACCCUCAAACCCUAAUGGCUAAUGACAGCCUCCAACAGUGUGACCCAAACCCUAACCAGAACCAUAACCAUAACCAUAACAAUGGCAUGUACCAUGUGCCUUUCGAGAGUGCAACUUCGGUUUCAGGGUUCAAAUCCUGGUUGAGACAAACGCCAUUUUCAGAUGGGAAAGCUUCGAGUGAAGCAAGUAAUCAUUGCAACUUUCAGACACUCUCCCUUACCAUGAGCCCAAGCUCCCAAAAUGGGACGAUGGCUGCAAUUGCGCCAUUGGAAGGGGUUGAUAACCGUAAACGACCUGUUGGGAAGAGCCUUGCCAGAGAACCAGUUCCUCGCAAAUCUAUUGAUACUUUUGGUCAACGAACUUCUCAAUAUCGUGGUGUUACGAGGCAUAGAUGGACCGGAAGAUAUGAGGCUCACUUAUGGGAUAAUAGCUGUAGGAAAGAGGGACAAACAAGGAAAGGGAGGCAAGUUUAUCUUGGCGGUUAUGAUAAGGAAGAGAAAGCAGCAAGGGCUUAUGACUUAGCUGCUCUGAAGUAUUGGGGUCCAACAACUCAUAUAAAUUUUCCUUUGAGUACUUACGAGAAGGAGCUGGAAGAGAUGAAGAACAUGACCCGUCAAGAAUUUGUAGCUCAUUUGAGAAGAAAAAGCAGUGGUUUUUCGAGAGGAGCUUCAGUGUACAGAGGAGUGACAAGGCACCAUCAGCAUGGAAGGUGGCAAGCUAGAAUCGGAAGGGUUGCUGGAAACAAGGACUUGUACCUUGGAACAUUUAGCACACAAGAAGAAGCAGCUGAAGCUUAUGAUAUUGCUGCAAUUAAGUUUAGGGGGACAAGUGCUGUAACCAACUUUGACAUAAGUAGGUAUGAUGUUAAGAGAAUUUGCUCAAGCUCUACUCUUAUUGGGGGUGACCUUGCAAAACGCUCACCAAAAGACUCUGCCCCGAUUGCUCUCGAGGAUUAUAAUUCGUGUGCUUCAUCAACAUCAGCUCAACCGCUUCUAGCUAUAUCAAACGGUGAAGCAUCUCGCGAAGUGGCUGACAUGGUUUGGAAUGCAAAUUCAGAUGAUAAUCGGCAGUAUCAAAGUAGUAACACUAACAAUGACGCAUCCUUGGCAACUUCAAAUGGCCGUAAUUCCUCUAACCCCCAAAGUCCAAAAUGCUCAGUUGGAUUAGCUAGUGAGUUUGGCAUUGGUGGAGACUACACUCAAGGCUACUUCUCAUUAGAGGGUCCAAAGUUCGAAGAUGGCAGCAAUGGGACUGAAAAUUCAAAUGAAAACCGGCUGGGGAGUUUGGGUAUGGUUCAUCAGGUUCCAAUGUUUGCGCUUUGGAACGAGUGAGAUGCAGUCAAUUGUUUAAGAAUUUGAGAGGCACUGAUUGAUGAUAGAGAAGUGGUUUAGUUUCAGCAUAGAAAACUAGAAAGAGGGUAGGAUAUGUCACACAGAAUAGAAUGGAUUCAAUGGUCUUUAGAUGUUUUGGUUUCAAUAUGAAUUCACCGUUCUCUACCUUAUCAAAGUAUAAUGGAAAGAUUACCAAACUCUCAAGAAAACAUGGGUGAUUUUCAUGGUAUCCUAAUACACCCUAGCAAGGAAUCUAGCGA